GGGAGGUAGUGACAAUAAAUAACAACGCAGGGCUCUUUCGGGUCUUGUUAUUGGAAUGAGUACGAUUUAAAUCUCCUAACGAGGAACAAUUGGAGGGCAAGUCUGGUGCCAGCAGCCGCGGUAAUUCCAGCUCCAAUAGCGUAUAUUAAAGUUGCUGCAGUUAAAAAGCUCGUAGUUGAAUUUCGGGACCAUCAUGUCGGUCGUGCCUCGGUACGUACUGGCAUCGUCGGUUUCUCCCUUCUGACGAACCAUGAUGUCAUUUAUUUGGUGUCGUGGGGAAUCAGGACUGUUACUUUGAAAAAUUAGAGUGUUUAAAGCAGGCUCACGCUUGAAUACAUUAGCAUGGAAUAAUGAAAUAGGACGUUUGAUUCUAUUUUGUUGGUUUCUAGGAUCGACGUAAUGAUUAAUAGGGAUAGUUGGG
This 421-nucleotide ribosomal RNA is filed under the name uncultured Glomeraceae. Its description in RNAcentral is "SSU rRNA". It matches the Rfam family "Eukaryotic small subunit ribosomal RNA", at positions 459 to 886 of the family's 1831-position model. Lineage: Eukaryota; Fungi; Glomeromycota; Glomeromycetes; Glomerales; Glomeraceae. The record is from RNAcentral.